This 66-nucleotide transfer RNA is filed under the name Himalopsyche malenanda. Its description in RNAcentral is "tRNA-Arg". The record is from RNAcentral. Lineage: Eukaryota; Metazoa; Arthropoda; Insecta; Trichoptera; Rhyacophilidae.
AAAUAAGAAGCAAUAAAUUGCAUUUAAUUUCGACUUAAAAUUUAGAGUAUAAAUCUCUCUUAUUUU